RNAcentral lists this ribosomal RNA (447 nucleotides) under uncultured marine bacterium. RNAcentral describes it as "bacterial SSU rRNA". It matches the Rfam family "Bacterial small subunit ribosomal RNA", at positions 360 to 804 of the family's 1533-position model. The record is from RNAcentral.
AAUAUUGGACAAUGGAGGAGACUCUGAUCCAGCCAUGCCGCGUGCAGGAUGACGGCCCUAUGGGUUGUAAACUGCUUUUAUACAGGAAGAAACCUUUCCACGUGUGGAAAGCUGACGGUACUGUAAGAAUAAGGACCGGCUAACUCCGUGCCAGCAGCCGCGGUAAUACGGAGGGUCCGAGCGUUAUCCGGAAUCAUUGGGUUUAAAGGGUCCGUAGGCGGGCCUAUAAGUCAGGGGUGAAAGUUUGUGGCUCAACCAUAAAAUUGCCCUUGAUACUGUAGGUCUUGAGUUAUAGUGAAGUUGCCGGAACAUGUGGUGUAGCGGUGAAAUGCAUAGAUAUCACAUAGAACACCAAUUGCGAAGGCAGGUGACUAACUAUAUACUGACGCUGAUGGACGAAAGCGUGGGGAGCGAACGGGAUUAGAUACCCCGGUAGUCCACGCCGUA